This 110-nucleotide ribosomal RNA is filed under the name Notechis scutatus (mainland tiger snake). Lineage: Eukaryota; Metazoa; Chordata; Lepidosauria; Squamata; Elapidae. The record is from RNAcentral.
UUUUUCUGGUUAGUUGCAUCACUGGGCAGUAACUAAACUAGAAAGCUAAGCAAUGUCAGUCAUGGCUAGUACUUGGAUGGGAGACCUCCAGGAAAAUCUGAUGGAAAGAC